Molecule: long non-coding RNA, 1574 nt
Organism: Andrographis paniculata
Lineage: Eukaryota; Viridiplantae; Streptophyta; Magnoliopsida; Lamiales; Acanthaceae
Exons: 2
Source: RefSeq, a predicted model, not a curated record
AGAUAAGAGGUGACUUUUAGUUAUGGUCAUGACUAAUUGGCACCUUGCUAUUUUUUUUCACCCAACCUUUCUUACCCAACCAAUUUCCAAAAUAAGAGAUAGUAUUUAGCGGUGACAUGACUAAAUACUACAUAUCACACUACCUCUUCCCUAUCCAAUUUUUACCCUAAAUCCCAAAAUGAAAAAAAAUAAAAUAAAACAAAACUCCUGAUCUCUCUCUCUCUUUCCCUCACUCUCUCGCUCAGACCUCCCCCUUCUUCCCCCCUCCGCCGAACCAGACUCCUUUGUCGCCUUCUCCAGCCAGCCGACGCCAGACCACCUCAGGCGCGCCUCCGGCACGCCUUCGCCGAUCUUCUUCUUCUCCCUCUUCUACCGUCCGCCUCCCUUCCCUCUUUCCAGACGCGAUUCACCCUCCGCCAAACAAGAUCAGUCGGAUGCCGCGGAGCCAGCCGCGAUCAUCUUCUACUCCAUGACGAUCCUCCUCCGCGAUCCUCUCUCUGCCCAGAAGAGAACGCCAGCUCCCCUCCAGAAGCCGCCGGUUCCCUUCCCCCCUUUCCGCCGCGCCAGACGUCGCCCCGCCGGUUCUCCUACCGGACAUCUCCGAACCGGUUCAUUCGUAGUAUUACUUCUUUCCUUAUUCCUAAUACUGUCAAUUUUGGGAUUCUAUGUUGAGAAUUGGGUGAUUACUUAGACUGCUCAUUAAAACUUCCUGGUUGAAUUUUAGUCCGUACUAUAUAGGAAUUUGGUUUUGAUAUUGAUGUCCAAUUUUUCUUACAUGAUGAUAAUAUUGGGGUGAUAGAAUUAAUUUGUGCAAUUUGAUUCUGAUUCUUUUGGAUAGAAUAUUACAUUCAUGUUCUUGGGCUCUGGAACUGAUCUUCUCUAAGUGAUACAUCUCAAUACUUUCCGAAUUUGGGUGUUUAGAUAUUGCCUUGAUUUGGUUCUAGGCUACUGUGUUGCCGGUUAUUUCGUUUUGCAGAUUUCAUGUUGCGUCUGGCUAAUCGUUUUGCAAUGAUGAACUUCAAGCCUCUCUAAAAAUGAUGCACGAUCAAAUGAAGAGGCAUUGGCAAAGCUACCAACUACUACACCCCCUACGGACUCCAGGGAAGUCCUUCUGCUUUCUUUACAUUGAGGACAAUGUAUGCUUUAGGGAAGAAAAGACAAAUUUGGUGAAUUUGGAGAAAAAUAAAAGAAAAAAAUCAGCAUUGGACAAUCAAGUUAGUCAUGACAAUAACUACACCCUCUUGACAUGAGAAUUUAAUUAAAGGCCCAAAAGCCCAACUGCAAAAUAAUUAGGGCAAAAAUUAAAUAAAAAUGGAAGAUCACACGCAGAAGAGGAGAGAACGGCCAGAGCAUAUACGCACAAGAGCAGGAGCAGGAGACUGACAGAAUCAUAGAUUGCGCAGGAGCAAAUCAACAGAGAAGAUUUCCUCCCACUAUGACUUUAUCUUUCUCUAUUGUUCUUUGUUAUUUGAUUAUAGAGUAGAUAUUUUUCUGGUUUGAGAGAUGAUAAUGUUUUGGUUCUUUUGUUUUGGAGAUUCUUAAUUUUGUUUAUAAAAGUUAUUUUUUAUUAUCAA